ACGGGAGGCAGCAGUGAGGAAUAUUGGUCAAUGGACGAGAGUCUGAACCAGCCAAGUAGCGUGCAGGAUGACGGCCCUAUGGGUUGUAAACUGCUUUUGUACGGGAAUAAAGUGACCUACGUGUAGGUUUUUGCAUGUACCGUAAGAAUAAGGACCGGCUAAUUCCGUGCCAGCAGCCGCGGUAAUACGGAGGAUGCGAGCGUUAUCCGGAUUUAUUGGGUUUAAAGGGUGCGUAGGCGGGAUGUUAAGUCAGCGGUCAAAUUGUGUAGCUCAACUAUACCGAGCCGUUGAAACUGGCGUUCUUGAGUGUAAACGAGGUAGGCGGAAUGUGACGUGUAGCGGUGAAAUGCUUAGAUAUGUCACAGAACCCCGAUUGCGAAGGCAGCUUACUAGGAUACAACUGACGCUGAGGCACGAAAGCGUGGGUAUCAAACAGGAUUAGAUACCCUGGUA
RNAcentral lists this ribosomal RNA (453 nucleotides) under uncultured Mangroviflexus sp. RNAcentral describes it as "partial 16S ribosomal RNA". It matches the Rfam family "Bacterial small subunit ribosomal RNA", at positions 341 to 792 of the family's 1533-position model. The record is from RNAcentral. Lineage: Bacteria; Pseudomonadati; Bacteroidota; Bacteroidia; Marinilabiliales; Marinilabiliaceae.